GUCCAGGGGCGGGAAUCGAACCCACACCCUUCUGCUUACCGGGCAGGUGCCAUGUCCACUCGGCUACCCUGGA
RNAcentral lists this transfer RNA (73 nucleotides) under Cordylochernes scorpioides. RNAcentral's name for it is "tRNA-Thr". Lineage: Eukaryota; Metazoa; Arthropoda; Arachnida; Pseudoscorpiones; Chernetidae. The record is from RNAcentral.